UCUUUGGUAUCUGCAUUUAAAGCAUUUUGAAAUAAGUAUUAUUGGUUUUUCUAAGACUUUCAUAAAUGGUUUGUGGUUUGAAUGAAAGGGGUCGUUGAUGAUUCCCGAGUUGUAAUUAUAUUUUAAUUCCGCUGCAUUUUAGUUUUCGAGACAAUGUUUUAAGUUAUCGUUAACUCUUAUUAUGCCUUGCGUUCCAUCGCGGCGGUAACACGCCCAAAGUCGAUGCGACGUAGUAGGGGUAGACGCGUAUGGAUUUUGGGGGUGUUACACCACUCGCCCUUCCUACAACUGUCAUCCGCUAAACCACCACCGCACCCACCCUUUCUCUCUCUUCCUCGCACCCCAUUCUUCUCGCUCAACCCCACGCAAAGUCUCACGCUUCUCUGUCGUGCACCGUAGCGGUGCUGCCGCACCACCACCCACCUCCAUCUUCAUUCGUUGCCGCGCUGCGCCACCCACGCUCAGCCACGCCAGCACCACACCUCGUUUUCUUCAUCCAACUCCCUCGCCAGUCGCGUCCCUCUCUGUUCGCUGCAGCGAUUUUGUGCCCCUGCGCCGCGCCGGAGUUGCGUGGGCCACCGGCUGCUCGUAGUUCGCCGUUGCACAUCGUUCACUGGAGCUCUUCGUGUCGACCCUGCUCACUGAGCAGAGGUCUUAGGAGGUUGCAGGAGGAAUACUAAAGGUUGCUAAGCAAGGUUUAAUUUCCUAAACACCAAAAUUAAGAUUCAGUUGUUUUGCAGGAGUAAACUGAAGGUCAAAGAUUUGCUUAGUCUGGAAAGUUCGUGAUAUAUGUGUUACUGCUGCGUUAUGUUACAUUAUAAAUUCACUAUGUGAUGUAACAUAUAUUUUUAAACUCGAAUCUUAAAUAUUUAGACUACGAUGUAAUAAGUCAGUAUUUUAAAGUGGAUUUCAUGAACUAAGCUCAGAUA
Molecule: long non-coding RNA, 929 nt
Organism: Beta vulgaris subsp. vulgaris (sugar beet)
Lineage: Eukaryota; Viridiplantae; Streptophyta; Magnoliopsida; Caryophyllales; Amaranthaceae
Exons: 3
Source: RefSeq, a predicted model, not a curated record